RNAcentral lists this ribosomal RNA (279 nucleotides) under uncultured bacterium. RNAcentral's name for it is "partial 16S ribosomal RNA". It matches the Rfam family "Bacterial small subunit ribosomal RNA", at positions 506 to 784 of the family's 1533-position model. The record is from RNAcentral.
UGCCAGCCGCCGCGGUAAUACGGAGGGUGCAAGCGUUGUUCGGAAUUACUGGGCGUAAAGCGAGUGUAGGCGGCCGCGCAGGUCGGAUGUGAAAUCCCAGGGCCCAACCCUGGAACUGCAUCCGAAACCGCGUAGCUAGAGUCCCGGAGAGGAUGGCGGAAUUUCCGGUGUAGAGGUGAAAUUCGUAGAUAUCGGAAGGAACACCAGUGGCGAAGGCGGCCAUCUGGACGGUGACUGACGCUCAGACUCGAAAGCGUGGGGAGCAAACAGGAUUAGAUA